This 947-nucleotide unclassified non-coding RNA is filed under the name Hevea brasiliensis (rubber tree). The record is from RNAcentral. Lineage: Eukaryota; Viridiplantae; Streptophyta; Magnoliopsida; Malpighiales; Euphorbiaceae.
GCAGUUUCGAAGCUUCUCGAAGUGUGGUAGAAGUAGGUAAAACCAAAGGCAAGAUCCAUUUCUGACCUGAAACCCACUUCCUUCUCCGUCUUCUCAUCAUAUAGCGAAAACAAUUUCGAUCAAAGAAGAGCAAUCAUGGGUUGGAUGACACGGUUCUUAUCUGCUGUAGCUUUCUUGGCAAUUGGAGUACUUUUUGCUCCAGAAACUUUUGGUUCAAAAUCAGAUGGUCAACAUCCUCCAAAGCUCGCAACUUUUCUGAAAUUAGCUCAUCUCCUCUGCUUUUCCACUGCUUUUGGUGCUGCUCUAUGGGUCACUUUCAUCGGUGGUAUCAUCAUGUUCAAGAAUUUGCCAAGGCAUCAGUUUGGGAAUCUGCAAAGUAAAAUGUUUCCUGCAUACUUCUCCAUGGUGGGGGUAUGUUGUGCUGUGUCUGUGGGUUCUUUUGGGUACUUGCAUCCAUGGAAGACUGCCUCCGCUUCUGAGAAGUACCAACUUGGGUUCAUUCUUGCUGCAUUUGCUUUCAACCUCAGCAAUCUCUUUGUCUUUACUCCUAUGACCAUUCAGAUGAUGAAGGAAAGGCAUAAGAUAGAGAGGGAGGCGAACAUAGGGGAGGAAGUUGGAUGGACGAAGAACCAAGAAGUCGCAAAGGUUAAUCCAAAGCUUUCAGCAAUGAACAAGAAAUUCGGGAUGAUUCAUGGCCUAUCUUCCCUUGCUAACAUCUUCUCCUUCGGUUGCCUCGCUAUGCAUUCCUGGUACCUGGCUGGAAAAUUGGAUCUAUAAAUUGUAUUAAUCCUUCUGCUACUUUCUAGUUUGGCAUUUAGUUUCUACCAUGGCUUGUGUAUUGUGUUAAAAUGUAACUUGACACCACCCAAGUAAGAAUAAAAAUACACACGUUACCAAGUUGCUCAAAAUGUGAAACUUUGAUAUCAACAAGUCUGAAUAGAACCAAA